Molecule: non-coding RNA, 71 nt
Organism: Podarcis lilfordi (Lilford's wall lizard)
Lineage: Eukaryota; Metazoa; Chordata; Lepidosauria; Squamata; Lacertidae
Source: the annotation of a GenBank genome assembly
GGGCCAUAACUCAACAGUAGAAUAUCUGCUUUGCAUGCAGAAGCUCCUGGGUUCAAUCCCAGGCAUCUCCA